UGCAAGUCGAACGGUGACGACGGGGCUUGCCCUGUCUGAUCAGUGGCGAACGGGUGAGUAACACGUGAGUAACCUGCCCUUGACUCUGGGAUAACCGCGGGAAACGGCGGCUAAUACCGGAUAUGAGACGUACAGGCAUCUGUUGCGUCUGGAAAGAUUUAUCGGUCAAGGAUGGGCUCGCGGCCUAUCAGCUUGUUGGUGGGGUGAUGGCCUACCAAGGCGACGACGGGUAGCCGGCCUGAGAGGGCGACCGGCCACACUGGGACUGAGACACGGCCCAGACUCCUACGGGAGGCAGCAGUGGGGAAUAUUGCACAAUGGGCGCAAGCCUGAUGCAGCGACGCCGCGUGAGGGAUGAAGGCCUUCGGGUUGUAAACCUCUUUCAGCAGGGAAGAAGCGAAAGUGACGGUACCUGCAGAAGAAGCGCCGGCUAACUACGUGCCAGCAGCCGCGGUAAUACGUAGGGCGCAAGCGUUGUCCGGAAUUAUUGGGCGUAAAGAGCUCGUAGGCGGUUUGUCGCGUCUGCUGUGAAAACCUGAGGCUCAACCUCGGGCUUGCAGUGGGUACGGGCAGACUAGAGUGCGGUAGGGGUGACUGGAAUUCCUGGUGUAGCGGUGGAAUGCGCAGAUAUCAGGAGGAACACCGAUGGCGAAGGCAGGUCACUGGGCCGCAACUGACGCUGAGGAGCGAAAGCAUGGGGAGCGAACAGGAUUAGAUACCCUGGUAGUCCAUGCCGUAAACGUUGGGCACUAGGUGUGGGGCUCAUUCCACGAGUUCCGUGCCGCAGCAAACGCAUUAAGUGCCCCGCCUGGGGAGUACGGCCGCAAGGCUAAAACUCAAAGAAAUUGACGGGGGCCCGCACAAGCGGCGGAGCAUGCGGAUUAAUUCGAUGCAACGCGAAGAACCUUACCAAGGCUUGACAUACACCGGAAAAGUGCAGAGAUGUGCUCCCCGCAAGGUCGGUGUACA
Molecule: ribosomal RNA, 969 nt
Filed under: Cellulomonas sp.
Lineage: Bacteria; Bacillati; Actinomycetota; Actinomycetes; Micrococcales; Cellulomonadaceae
Description: bacterial SSU rRNA
Rfam family: Bacterial small subunit ribosomal RNA
Source: RNAcentral